GGUUGGGCCUCGCACGGAUAAUCUUUGUGAACCCCGUCAGGUCCGGAAGGAAGCAGCGGCAGCGAAGUAUUGUCGCGUUGCGAAUCAGUCCAGCUCAG
RNAcentral lists this signal recognition particle RNA (98 nucleotides) under Ghiorsea sp. RNAcentral's name for it is "signal recognition particle sRNA small type". It matches the Rfam family "Bacterial small signal recognition particle RNA". Rfam says of the family: The signal recognition particle (SRP) is a universally conserved ribonucleoprotein involved in the co-translational targeting of proteins to membranes. The record is from RNAcentral. Lineage: Bacteria; Pseudomonadati; Pseudomonadota; Candidatius Mariprofundia; Mariprofundales.